GAUGAACGCUAGCGGCAGGCUUAACACAUGCAAGUCGAGGGGUAACAGGGAGAAGCUUGCUUUUCCGCUGACGACCGGCGCACGGGUGCGUAACGCGUAUAGAACCUACCUUUUACAGAGGAAUAGCCCAGAGAAAUUUGGAUUAAUGCCUCAUAGUAUUAUAGAAUGGCAUCAUUUUAUAAUUAAACAUUUAUGGGUAAAAGAUGGCUAUGCGUUCUAUUAGCUAGUUGGUAAGGUAACGGCUUACCAAGGCUACGAUAGAUAGGGGUCCUGAGAGGGAGAUCCCCCACACUGGUACUGAGACACGGACCAGACUCCUACGGGAGGCAGCAGUGAGGAAUAUUGGACAAUGGAGGCAACUCUGAUCCAGCCAUGCCGCGUGCAGGAAGACGGCCCUAUGGGUUGUAAACUGCUUUUAUAUAGGAAGAAACCUUUCCACGUGUGGAAAGCUGACGGUACUAUAAGAAUAAGCACCGGCUAACUCCGUGCCAGCAGCCGCGGUAAUACGGAGGGUGCAAGCGUUAUCCGGAAUCAUUGGGUUUAAAGGGUCCGUAGGCGGACUAAUAAGUCAGGGGUGAAAUCCAACAGCUUAACUGUUGAACUGCCUUUGAUACUGUUAGUCUUGAAUUAUAUGGAAGUAGAUAGAAUGUGUAGUGUAGCGGUGAAAUGCUUAGAGAUUACACAGAAUACCGAUUGCGAAGGCAGUCUACUACGUAUAUAUGACGCU
RNAcentral lists this ribosomal RNA (727 nucleotides) under Lutibacter sp. Its description in RNAcentral is "bacterial SSU rRNA". It matches the Rfam family "Bacterial small subunit ribosomal RNA", at positions 28 to 747 of the family's 1533-position model. Lineage: Bacteria; Pseudomonadati; Bacteroidota; Flavobacteriia; Flavobacteriales; Flavobacteriaceae. The record is from RNAcentral.